RNAcentral lists this ribosomal RNA (468 nucleotides) under uncultured bacterium. Its description in RNAcentral is "partial 16S ribosomal RNA". It matches the Rfam family "Bacterial small subunit ribosomal RNA", at positions 28 to 507 of the family's 1533-position model. The record is from RNAcentral.
GACGAACGCUGGCGGCGUGCUUAACACAUGCAAGUCGAACGGAAAGGCCCUGCUUUUGUGGGGUGCUCGAGUGGCGAACGGGUGAGUAACACGUGAGUAACCUGCCCUUGACUUUGGGAUAACUUCAGGAAACUGGGGCUAAUACCGGAUAGGAGCUCCUGCUGCAUGGUGGGGGUUGGAAAGUUUCGGCGAUUGGGGAUGGACUCGCGGCUUAUCAGCUUGUUGGUGGGGUAGUGGCUUACCAAGGCUUUGACGGGUAGCCGGCCUGAGAGGGUGACCGGCCACAUUGGGACUGAGAUACGGCCCAGACUCCUACGGGAGGCAGCAGUGGGGAAUAUUGCACAAUGGGCGGAAGCCUGAUGCAGCAACGCCGCGUGCGGGAUGACGGCCUUCGGGUUGUAAACCGCUUUCGCCUGUGACGAAGCGUGAGUGACGGUAAUGGGUAAAGAAGCACCGGCUAACUACGUG